UACGUAGGGUGCAAGCGUUGUCCGGAAUUAUUGGGCGUAAAGAGCUCGUAGGCGGUUUGUCGCGUCUGCUGUGAAAACUCGGGGCUUAACCCCGGGCCUGCAGUGGGUACGGGCAGACUAGAGUGCGGUAGGGGAGACUGGAAUUCCUGGUGUAGCGGUGAAAUGCGCAGAUAUCAGGAGGAACACCGGUGGCGAAGGUGGGUCUCUGGGCCGUAACUGACGCUGAGGAGCGAAAGCGUGGGGAGCGAACAGG
RNAcentral lists this ribosomal RNA (253 nucleotides) under uncultured bacterium. Its description in RNAcentral is "partial 16S ribosomal RNA". It matches the Rfam family "Bacterial small subunit ribosomal RNA", at positions 524 to 776 of the family's 1533-position model. The record is from RNAcentral.